GGGAGCGGCAGACGGGUGAGUAACACGUGGGGAUCUACCCAAUGGUACGGAAUAACCCAGGGAAACUUGGAUUAAUACCGUAUGUGCCCUUCGGGGGAAAGAUUUAUCGCCAUUGGAUGAACCCGCGUCGGAUUAGCUAGUUGGUGAGGUAAAGGCUCACCAAGGCGACGAUCCGUAGCUGGUCUGAGAGGAUGAUCAGCCACACUGGGACUGAGACACGGCCCAGACUCCUACGGGAGGCAGCAGUGGGGAAUAUUGGACAAUGGGCGCAAGCCUGAUCCAGCCAUGCCGCGUGAGUGAUGAAGGCCUUAGGGUUGUAAAGCUCUUUCGCCGGUGAAGAUAAUGACGGUAACCGGAGAAGAAGCCCCGGCUAACUUCGUGCCAGCAGCCGCGGUAAUACGAAGGGGGCUAGCGUUGCUCGGAAUCACUGGGCGUAAAGCGCACGUAGGCGGAUCGUUAAGUCAGGGGUGAAAUCCUGGAGCUCAACUC
RNAcentral lists this ribosomal RNA (489 nucleotides) under Xanthobacter flavus. RNAcentral's name for it is "bacterial SSU rRNA". It matches the Rfam family "Bacterial small subunit ribosomal RNA", at positions 91 to 615 of the family's 1533-position model. Lineage: Bacteria; Pseudomonadati; Pseudomonadota; Alphaproteobacteria; Hyphomicrobiales; Xanthobacteraceae. The record is from RNAcentral.